Molecule: non-coding RNA, 357 nt
Organism: Salmo salar (Atlantic salmon)
Lineage: Eukaryota; Metazoa; Chordata; Actinopteri; Salmoniformes; Salmonidae
Source: RefSeq, a predicted model, not a curated record
AUGUCUAAUUGAUGUGCAUGUUUGUGAAGGGUGGAGUGUAAAUUAGCAGCACCAUUGUUUGAUGCUCCUAUUUGCAGAGGAGGCCUGACUGUAUUAAACAGGCUGAGAACACACUUCUAACUCCUCACAAUGCAACUUUGAAUGAAUACGUGCCAGACAGGUUUCUCUGUUCGGGCGGAUCUGCCGAUCAUAUAGAUGCUGUAACGUGCAAAGGUGACUCUGAAGGCGCUCUGUUCCUUCUUAACAGACUGCGGUAUUUUCAAGCUGGAGUAGUGAGCUGGGACACCAAGAAUGUGUGUGAAGCCCAAGACAGAAGUAACAGGCCCCCUCCUGAUGCAAGGGACUUCCACAUUAGUG